UACGUAGGUGGCAAGCGUUGUCCGGAAUUAUUGGGCGUAAAGCGCGCGCAGGUGGUUUCUUAAGUCUGAUGUGAAAGCCCACGGCUCAACCGUGGAGGGUCAUUGGAAACUGGGGAACUUGAGUGCAGAAGUGGAAAGUGGAAUUCCAAGUGUAGCGGUGAAAUGCGUAGAGAUUUGGAGGAACACCAGUGGCGAAGGCGACUUUCUGGUCUGUAACUGACACUGAGGCGCGAAAGCGUGGGGAGCGAACAGG
Molecule: ribosomal RNA, 253 nt
Filed under: uncultured bacterium
Lineage: Bacteria
Description: partial 16S ribosomal RNA
Rfam family: Bacterial small subunit ribosomal RNA
Source: RNAcentral